ACGCUCGACACCUACUGGAGGCAGCAGUGGGGAAUAUUGCACAAUGGGGGAAACCCUGAUGCAGCGACGCCGCGUGAGCGAAGAAGUAUCUCGGUAUGUAAAGCUCUAUCAGCAGGGAAGAAGAUGACGGUACCUGACUAAGAAGCACCGGCUAAAUACGUGUCAGCAGCCGCGGUAAUCUGAGCGGGCUGGCAAGGC
RNAcentral lists this ribosomal RNA (198 nucleotides) under uncultured bacterium. Its description in RNAcentral is "partial 16S ribosomal RNA". It matches the Rfam family "Bacterial small subunit ribosomal RNA", at positions 328 to 539 of the family's 1533-position model. The record is from RNAcentral.